This 301-nucleotide ribosomal RNA is filed under the name uncultured bacterium. RNAcentral describes it as "partial 16S ribosomal RNA". It matches the Rfam family "Bacterial small subunit ribosomal RNA", at positions 509 to 809 of the family's 1533-position model. The record is from RNAcentral.
CAGCAGCCACGGUAGUACGUAGGGUGCGAGCGUUAAUCGGAAUUACUGGGCGUAAAGCGUGCGCAGGCGGUUAUAUAAGACAGAUGUGAAAUCCCCGGGCUCAACCUGGGACCUGCAUUUGUGACUGUAUAGCUAGAGUACGGUAGAGGGGGAUGGAAUUCCGCGUGUAGCAGUGAAAUGCGUAGAUAUGCGGAGGAACACCGAUGGCGAAGGCAAUCCCCUGGACCUGUACUGACGCUCAUGCACGAAAGCGUGGGGAGCAAACAGGAUUAGAUACCCCGGUAGUCCCUGUCUCUUAUAA